GACGAACGCUGGCGGCGUGCUUAACACAUGCAAGUCGAACGGAAAGGCCCUGCUUUUGUGGGGUGCUCGAGUGGCGAACGGGUGAGUAACACGUGAGUAACCUGCCCUUGACUUUGGGAUAACUUCAGGAAACUGGGGCUAAUACCGGAUAGGAGCCCCUGCUGCAUGGUGGGGGUUGGAAAGUUUCGGCGGUUGGGGAUGGACUCGCGGCUUAUCAGCUUGUUGGUGGGGUAGUGGCUUACCAAGGCUUUGACGGGUAGCCGGCCUGAGAGGGUGACCGGCCACAUUGGGACUGAGAUACGGCCCAGACUCCUACGGGAGGCAGCAGAGGGGAAUAUUGCACAAUGGGCGGAAGCCUGAUGCAGCAACGCCGCGUGCGGGAUGACGGCCUUCGGGUUGUAAACCGCUUUCGCCUGUGACGAAGCGUGAGUGACGGUAAUGGGUAAAGAAGCACCGGCUAACUACGUG
Molecule: ribosomal RNA, 468 nt
Filed under: uncultured bacterium
Lineage: Bacteria
Description: partial 16S ribosomal RNA
Rfam family: Bacterial small subunit ribosomal RNA
Source: RNAcentral